CUUAACACCAGAAGAAGAAGCACAAGCUCUCUCAUUUCGUUCGCUUCGCUGGACGACCACGUUGUGGAGAUCCAAAGUCCUGGAAGAUGUACCAGUAAAUACUAUUUCUUGCUGAAAAUCUCGUUUAUUUCAUAAGAGUAAUGGAAGUCCCCUGGAGCUUUAACAGAACAUCCAUCUGGCCACCUUGAAGAAAACUACGCAUUGUUUUGGUUGUGAGUUUGAUGCCAUCAAGGAGAUGAAUUUCUCAAAGCAGCUUCAAGAAAGAAGUCCGCUCCGCCUAUGAAGAUUCGGACCGAUUGCAAAGCCACAGUUUUAAAGUUUGAUAGUAAUGGAAGUCCCCUGGAGCUUUAACAGAACAUCCAUCUGGCCACCUUGAAGAAAACUACGCAUUGUUUUGGUUGUGAGUUUGAUGCCAUCAAGGAGAUGAAUUUCUCAAAGCAGCUUCAAGAAAGAAGUCCGCUUCGCCUAUGAAGAUUCGGACCGAUUGCAAAGCCACAGUUUUAAAGUUUGAUAGUAAUGGAAGUCCCCUGGAGCUUUAACAGAACAUCCAUCUGGCCACCUUGAAGAAAACUACGCAUUGUUUUGGUUGUGAGUUUGAUGCCAUCAAGGAGAUGAAUUUCUCAAAGCAGCUUCAAGAAAGAAGUCCGCUCCUCCUAUGAAGAUUCGGACCGAUUGCGAAGCCACAGUUUUAAAGUUUGAUGGAGAAACUCGUUCUUUGCAGUGCAGUUGGAUCACUUGUUGCUUAAAGAAGACAUAACAACUGUAGUGAAUAGAAUUUAAUUGGAAAUGUCAUUUUAAGAUUUAACAGUAUUUUGUGCAUGUGGUGUUGGUUCAAAA
Long non-coding RNA from Xyrauchen texanus (razorback sucker), 837 nucleotides. RefSeq lists it as uncharacterized. The transcript has 5 exons. Lineage: Eukaryota; Metazoa; Chordata; Actinopteri; Cypriniformes; Catostomidae. The record is from RefSeq and is a predicted model, not a curated record.